This is an RNA transcript of Nomascus leucogenys (northern white-cheeked gibbon), 2183 nucleotides long. It is a transcript of the gene named spermidine synthase pseudogene, with no coding region annotated. The transcript has a single exon. NCBI's taxonomy places the organism in Eukaryota, Metazoa, Chordata, Mammalia, Primates, Hylobatidae. The record is from RefSeq and is a predicted model, not a curated record.
AAAAUUAAAAAUUUAAAAAAAAUGAAAAAAAGCCGCAUGCUUGUUUUUUGUUUUUAGUUAUUCUCCAUUGUCAUUAUUACCAAAUAUUGGGGAAAAUACAACUUACAGACCAAUCUCAGGAGUUAAAUGUUACUACGAAGGCAAAUGAACUAUGCGUAAUGAACCUGGUAGGUAUUAUUUAUUGAAUUAUCAGCAUUCCAGAUGUCCAGCACAUUUUUAAUAGGAAAGUAUUGGGAACAGAUGUCAUUAUUUUCAGCGUAGGUUUUAAAACACUCUAGUAUGUCAUAAAUUAUCUUCAAAAGGAUCAUAAAUCUUUUUUAAAGAUCCAUUUUAUUUAAAAUAUAUAAAAAUAAUCCCGCGCCGGGGUUAGGUUGUGGCGCACAUGGCGGGCGGAGCUGGUCCCGUUGUGCUGCGGCGCUGCGCGGCCUGCAGUCCUCGGGCCACGCCCCGUGCCGCCAGCCCUCCAGCCAUGGAGCCCGGCCCCGACGGCCCCGCCGCCUCCGGUCCCACCGCCAUCCGCGAGGGCUGGUUCCGGGAGACCUGCAGCCUGUGGCCCGGCCAGGCCCUUUCGCUGCAGGUGGAGCAGCUGCUCCACCACCGGCGCUCGCGCUACCAGGACAUCCUCGUCUUCCGCAGUAAGACCUAUGGCAACGUGCUGGUGUUGGACGGUGUCAUCCAGUGCACAGAGAGAGACGAGUUCUACGAGGAGAUGAUCGCCAACCUGCCUCACUGCAGCCACUCCAACCCGCGAAGGGUGCUGAUCAUCGGGGGCCGAGAUAGAGGUGUCCUGCGUGAGGUGGUGAAGCAUCCCUCCGUGGAGUCCGUGGUCCAGUGUGAGAUCGACGAGGAUGUCAUCCAAGUCUCCAAGAAGUUCCUGCCAGGCAUGGCCUUUGGCUACUCUAGCUCGAAGCUGACCCUACAUGUGGGUGACGAUUUUGAGUUCAUGAAACAGAAUCAGGAUGCCUUCGAUGUGAUCAUCACUGACUCCUCAGACCCCAUGGGCCCCGCCGAAACUCUCUUCAAGGAGUCCUAUUACCAGCUCAUGAAGACAGCCCUCAAGGAAGAUGGUGUCCUCUGCUGCCAGGGCGAGUGCCAGUGGCUGCACCUGGACCUCAUCAAGGAGAUGCAGCAGUUCUGCCAGUCCUUGUUCCCCAUGGUGGCCUACGCCUACUGCACCAUCCCCACCUACCCCAGCGGCCAGAUCGGCUUCAUGCCCUGCAGCAAAAACCCAAGCACCAACUUCAGGAGCCGGUGUAGCCGCUGAUGCAGCAGCAGGUGGCGCAGAUGCAACUGAAGUACUACAACUCCGAUGUGCACCGCGCUGCCUUGGUGCUGCCCGAGUUUGCCCGCAAGGCCCUGAAUGAUGUGAGCUGAGCCCAGGCGCCACCACUGAUGCCACCCAGGACCUCGGACCUUGGAGCCUGCGGGGUGCCUUGGCCCCUCCAGCCCUGGGCCAGACCUCCUGCCGGCUCUCGCCCACCAACCAAGUGUUACAAGCCCCAGAAUGCUGCCCGGCCUGCCCUGCUGGGCGGACUGUCUGUAUGUCUGUCUCUCUGGCGUUCCACCUCCAAGCCUAUACCAGCUGUGUACAGCGCCAUCUCUCUGCCUUCUGUUGCCCCUCACUCACGAAACACGUAUUUAUAGCAAAGAAAAAAAAAUAAUAAUCACGGCACUCUAGCCUGGGUGACAGAGUGAGAUUCUGUUUCAAUAAAAAAAAACUAUAGCAUCAGUCUUUUCUAGGUUAUUUUCAGAAAUUUCAAACAAUGGGAAAAGAAUGGAAGAACUUUUGAGGGGAGCUGAGGAACACGAAAAAAGAUCAGUUCACAGUCAUGUAAAUAAAAAGUCAUGUUACUUGUUUUUUCUCUUUUGACGGAAAUAUGUAAUAUCUUUAUCCAAUUUUAAAAUCAAAGUAUGUGCAUAGAAUGUAAAGACAAGGAAUGCUAAAAGUACAUUUAUCACUUAAUGGCAGGGAUAUGUUAUGGUAAGUGCAAUGUUAAGUGAUUUUGUUGUGCGAGCAUCAUAAAGUAAUACUUACACAAACGUAGAUGGUCUAGCCUUCUGCACACCUACGCUACAAAGCUGUAAAGUAUGUUACUGUACUAAAUACUGUAGGGAAUUGUAACAGUGGUAUUUGUGUAUCUAAACAUCGAAAAAGUAACAACAGAGUAUAAAAGAUUUUUAGU